RNAcentral lists this ribosomal RNA (497 nucleotides) under uncultured bacterium. RNAcentral describes it as "partial 16S ribosomal RNA". It matches the Rfam family "Bacterial small subunit ribosomal RNA", at positions 28 to 507 of the family's 1533-position model. The record is from RNAcentral.
GACGAACGCUGGCGGCGUGCCUAAUACAUGCAAGUUGAGCGAUGAAGAUUGGUGCUUGCACCAAUUUGAAGAGCAGCGAACGGGUGAGUAACGCGUGGGGAAUCUGCCUUUGAGCGGGGGACAACAUUUGGAAACGAAUGCUAAUACCGCAUAACAACUUUAAACAUAAGUUUUAAGUUUGAAAGAUGCAAUUGCAUCACUCAAAGAUGAUCCCGCGUUGUAUUAGCUAGUUGGUGAGGUAAAGGCUCGCCAAGGCGAUGAUACAUAGCCGACCUGAGAGGGUGAUCGGCCACAUUGGGACUGAGACACGGCCCAAACUCCUACGGGAGGCAGCAGUAGGGAAUCUUCGGCAAUGGACGAAAGUCUGACCGAGCAACGCCGCGUGAGUGAAGAAGGUUUUCGGAUCGUAAAACUCUGUCGGUAGAGAAGAACGUUGGUGAGAGUGGAAAGCUCAUCAAGUGACGGUAACUACCCAGAAAGGGACGGCUAACUACGUG